CAGCCGCCGCGGUAAAACCAGCACCUCAAGUGGUCAGGAUGAUUAUUGGGCCUAAAGCAUCCGUAGCUCGUUUUGUAAGUUUUCGGUUAAAUCCAUGCGCUUAACGUAUGGGCUGCCGGGAAUACUGCAUAACUAGGAAGUGGGAGAGGUAGACGGUACUCGGUAGGAAGGGGUAAAAUCCUUUGAUCUAUUGAUGACCACCUGUGGCGAAGGCGGUCUACCAGAACACGUUCGACGGUGAGGGAUGAAAGCUGGGGGAGCAAACCGGAUUAGAUACCCGGGUAGUCCCAGCUGUAAACUAUGCAAACUCAGUGAUGCAUUGGCUUAUGGCCAAUGCAGUGCUGCAGGGAAGCCGUUAAGUUUGCCGCCUGGGAAGUACGUACGCAAGUAUGAAACUUAAAGGAAUUGGCGGGGGGAGCACCA
This 423-nucleotide ribosomal RNA is filed under the name uncultured archaeon. Its description in RNAcentral is "bacterial SSU rRNA". It matches the Rfam family "Archaeal small subunit ribosomal RNA", at positions 459 to 881 of the family's 1478-position model. The record is from RNAcentral.